AUCUGUAUAUUUCAUAGCAAAAGUUCUUGGAGAUUGGCAGCCUUUUUUAGUUUUAUUUUCUAUUUCUCUAUACAAGUAAAGAGACAGAGAACCGUAUACAGUCUAAAUAUUAGAGUACAGAAUUUUGAGUAGCUAUUCUAAGAAUACUGUUUUGAACAAAGAUGUUACAAUAAAGUUACUCACUAUUG
Melanotaenia boesemani (Boeseman's rainbowfish) is the source of this 188-nucleotide long non-coding RNA. RefSeq lists it as uncharacterized. The record is from RefSeq and is a predicted model, not a curated record. Lineage: Eukaryota; Metazoa; Chordata; Actinopteri; Atheriniformes; Melanotaeniidae. The transcript is spliced from 2 exons.